GAGGCAUGCAACGGCUGUCGCUGACCAAAAGUCGUGCACGCCAGGGUGUGUCCUCUCACAUAAAAUCCAUCUCACCCUCUUGUGCACCACCGCGUGGGCACCCUUCGGGGUCGAACAGAUCCAGGAGGGGGCUCGCGUUUUCACACAAACCCCUUUUUAAAAGUGUAGAAUGACCCCACUUUUGCGAUAACACGCAAUCAAUACAACUUUCAACAACGGAUCUCUUGGCUCUCGCAUCGAUGAAGAACGCAGCGAAAUGCGAUACGUAAUGUGAAUUGCAGAAUUCAGUGAAUCAUCGAAUCUUUGAACGCACCUUGCGCCCCUUGGUAUUCCGAGGGGCACACCCGUUUGAGUGUCGUGAAAAUCUCAACCUUCUCGGUUUCUUCUGAACACCGAAGGAGGCUUGGACUUUGGAGGCCUUUGCUGGUGUCUCUCACCAGCUCCUCUCAAAUGAAUUAGCGGGGUCCUCUUUGCCGAUCCUCGACAUGUGAUAAGAUGUUUCCAUGUCUUGCUUUAUGGCUCUGUUGCCUUUGGGACCCGCUUCUAACCGUCUCAGCGAGACAACGUUCGAGCGUGUCUCCCCUCUCGGGGAAACACUCUUGAACCCACGAAACCUUGACCUCAAAUCGGGUGAGACUACCCGCUGAACUUAAGCAUAUCAAU
Molecule: ribosomal RNA, 663 nt
Filed under: Lactarius sp. NA12_P31_J24
Lineage: Eukaryota; Fungi; Basidiomycota; Agaricomycetes; Russulales; Russulaceae
Description: eukaryotic LSU rRNA
Rfam family: 5.8S ribosomal RNA (bases 205-358)
Source: RNAcentral